UUAGAGGGCAUAUCUUCGGAUGUGUAUCCUGGCUAUACGAAGAAAUUUUCUGGUUAUAUGUAAAGUAAAAGGUUUGAUGGAUGCUGUAUGUUGUAUGCUGUAUAAGGGUUAAUGCGUGCAUUGGCCUUUUUAUAGUAUGUUUCAUAUGGUUUACGAAAGCCUUUUUAUCAGUAUAAAAGACAAUCACCUAUAUGUCCCGUCUUGAAACACGGACCAAGGAGUUUAUCGUAUGUGCGAGUCAUUGAGUGAUUAAAACUCAUUGGCGUAAUGAAAGUAAAGUAUCCUUUGCGGAUAUGAUAUAUGAUUAUUCAUUUUUCGAAAUGGGUAAGCAGUAUAAUCCCAUCCAAU
Molecule: ribosomal RNA, 348 nt
Filed under: Macrolaimus crucis
Lineage: Eukaryota; Metazoa; Nematoda; Chromadorea; Rhabditida; Chambersiellidae
Description: partial large subunit ribosomal RNA
Rfam family: Eukaryotic large subunit ribosomal RNA
Source: RNAcentral